AGUGAACGCUGGCGGUAGGCCUAACACAUGCAAGUCGAACGGCAGCACAGUAAGAGCUUGCUCUUACGGGUGGCGAGUGGCGGACGGGUGAGGAAUACAUCGGAAUCUACUUUUUCGUGGGGGAUAACGUAGGGAAACUUACGCUAAUACCGCAUACGACCUACGGGUGAAAGCAGGGGAUCUUUGGACCUUGCGCGAUUGAAUGAGCCGAUGUCGGAUUAGCUAGUUGGCGGGGUAAAGGCCCACCAAGGCGACGAUCCGUAGCUGGUCUGAGAGGAUGAUCAGCCACACUGGAACUGAGACACGGUCCAGACUCCUACGGGAGGCAGCAGUGGGGAAUAUUGGACAAUGGGCGCAAGACUGAUCCAGCCAUACCGCGUGGGUGAAGAAGGCCUUCGGGUUGUAAAGCCCUUUUGUUGGGAAAGAAAAGCAGCAGGUUAAUACCCCGCUGUUCUGACGGUACCCAAAGAAUAAGCACCGGCUAACUUCGUG
RNAcentral lists this ribosomal RNA (492 nucleotides) under uncultured bacterium. Its description in RNAcentral is "partial 16S ribosomal RNA". It matches the Rfam family "Bacterial small subunit ribosomal RNA", at positions 29 to 507 of the family's 1533-position model. The record is from RNAcentral.